RNAcentral lists this ribosomal RNA (388 nucleotides) under Galeichthys ater (black seacatfish). RNAcentral's name for it is "partial 12S ribosomal RNA". It matches the Rfam family "Bacterial small subunit ribosomal RNA", at positions 791 to 1382 of the family's 1533-position model. The record is from RNAcentral. Lineage: Eukaryota; Metazoa; Chordata; Actinopteri; Siluriformes; Ariidae.
UAUGCUUAGCCCUAAACCCAGAUGUACUUUUACACCUACAUCCGCCAGGGGACUACAAGCACAGCUUAAAACCCAAAGGACUUGGCGGUGCCUCAGACCCACCUAGAGGAGCCUGUUCUAGAACCGACACCCCCCGUUAAACCUCACCACUUCUUGUUUUCCCCGUCUAUAUACCGCCGUCGUCAGCUUACCCUGUGAAGGCUAAGUAGUAAGCAAAACUGCCCCGCCCAAAAACGUCAGGCCGAGGUGUAGCGCAUGAAGUGGGAAGAAAUGGGCUACAUUUUCUAUAAAUAGAAUAUCACGGACGGUGCCCUGAAAUAGGCACCCAAAGGUGGAUUUAGUAGUAAAAAACAAAUAGAGAGUCUUUUUGAAUUAGGCUCUGAAGCGC